This 394-nucleotide ribosomal RNA is filed under the name uncultured bacterium. RNAcentral's name for it is "bacterial SSU rRNA". It matches the Rfam family "Bacterial small subunit ribosomal RNA", at positions 505 to 898 of the family's 1533-position model. The record is from RNAcentral.
GUGUCAGCCGCCGCGGUAAUACGUAGGUGGCAAGCGUUAUCCGGAUUUACUGGGUGUAAAGGGCGUGUAGGCGGGACUGCAAGUCAGAUGUGAAAUUCCAGGGCUCAACCCUGGACCUGCAUUUGAAACUGUGGUUCUUGAGUGAUGGAGAGGCAGGCGGAAUUCCCUGUGUAGCGGUGAAAUGCGUAGAUAUAGGGAGGAACACCAGUGGCGAAGGCGGCCUGCUGGACAUUAACUGACGCUGAGGCGCGAAAGCGUGGGGAGCAAACAGGAUUAGAUACCCUGGUAGUCCACGCUGUAAACGAUGGAUACUAGGUGUGGGGGGACUGACCCCUUCCGUGCCGCAGUUAACACAAUAAGUAUCCCACCUGGGGAGUACGAUCGCAAGGUUGAA